This 76-nucleotide transfer RNA is filed under the name Emticicia aquatilis. RNAcentral's name for it is "tRNA-Pro". It matches the Rfam family "tRNA". Rfam says of the family: Transfer RNA (tRNA) molecules are approximately 80 nucleotides in length. Lineage: Bacteria; Pseudomonadati; Bacteroidota; Cytophagia; Cytophagales; Leadbetterellaceae. The record is from RNAcentral.
CUGGGUGUUCCGCAGAUGGUUAUACAGGCUUGCUUUGGGAGCAAGUGUUCGUGAGUUCGAAUCUCACUACUCAGAC